RNAcentral lists this ribosomal RNA (651 nucleotides) under Alcaligenaceae bacterium. RNAcentral's name for it is "bacterial SSU rRNA". It matches the Rfam family "Bacterial small subunit ribosomal RNA", at positions 818 to 1474 of the family's 1533-position model. Lineage: Bacteria; Pseudomonadati; Pseudomonadota; Betaproteobacteria; Burkholderiales; Alcaligenaceae. The record is from RNAcentral.
AGCUGUUGGGGCCUUCGGGCCUUGGUAGCGCAGCUAACGCGUGAAGUUGACCGCCUGGGGAGUACGGUCGCAAGAUUAAAACUCAAAGGAAUUGACGGGGACCCGCACAAGCGGUGGAUGAUGUGGAUUAAUUCGAUGCAACGCGAAAAACCUUACCUACCCUUGACAUGUCUGGAAUCCCAAAGAGAUUAGGGAGUGCUCGCAAGAGAACCGGAACACAGGUGCUGCAUGGCUGUCGUCAGCUCGUGUCGUGAGAUGUUGGGUUAAGUCCCGCAACGAGCGCAACCCUUGUCAUUAGUUGCUACGAAAGGGCACUCUAAUGAGACUGCCGGUGACAAACCGGAGGAAGGUGGGGAUGACGUCAAGUCCUCAUGGCCCUUAUGGGUAGGGCUUCACACGUCAUACAAUGGUCGGGACAGAGGGUCGCCAACCCGCGAGGGGGAGCCAAUCCCAGAAACCCGAUCGUAGUCCGGAUCGUAGUCUGCAACUCGACUACGUGAAGUCGGAAUCGCUAGUAAUCGCGGAUCAGAAUGUCGCGGUGAAUACGUUCCCGGGUCUUGUACACACCGCCCGUCACACCAUGGGAGUGGGUUCCACCAGAAGUAGUUAGCCUAACCGCAAGGAGGGCGAUUACCACGGUGGGGUUCAUGA